GACGUAGGAUGCGAGCGUUGUCCGGAUUUAUUGGGCGUAAAGGGUGCGUAGGUGGUGCUGUAAGUCAGGUGUGAAAUCUCGGGGCUCAACCCCGAAACUGCACUUGAUACUGCAGUGCUUGAGGACUGGAGAGGAGAUUGGAAUUCAUGGUGUAGCAGUGAAAUGCGUAGAUAUCAUGAGGAAGACCAGUGGCGAAGGCGGAUCUCUGGACAGUUCCUGACACUGAGGCACGAAGGCCAGGGGAGCAAACGGG
RNAcentral lists this ribosomal RNA (253 nucleotides) under uncultured bacterium. Its description in RNAcentral is "partial 16S ribosomal RNA". It matches the Rfam family "Bacterial small subunit ribosomal RNA", at positions 524 to 776 of the family's 1533-position model. The record is from RNAcentral.